RNAcentral lists this ribosomal RNA (305 nucleotides) under uncultured bacterium. RNAcentral describes it as "bacterial SSU rRNA". It matches the Rfam family "Bacterial small subunit ribosomal RNA", at positions 329 to 656 of the family's 1533-position model. The record is from RNAcentral.
UCCCCCUCCUUUCCCCCUCCGUAGGGAAUAUUUCUCAAUGGGGGCCCCCCUUCCUCCUCCCCUCCUCUUUUCUUAUUAAGGUUUUCGGAUUGUAAACUCCUUUUGUUAGAGAAGAUAAUGACGGUAUCUAACGAAUAAGCACCGGCUAACUCCGUGCCAGCAGCCGCGGUAAUACGGAGGGUGCAAGCGUUACUCGGAAUCACUGGGCGUAAAGAGCGCGUAGGCGGGAUAGCAAGUCAGAUGUGGAAUCCUAUGGCUUAACCAUAGAACUGCAUUUGAAACUGUUAUUCUAGAGUAUGGGAGAG